GGUUGCGGGAGAGGAGGUAGGGUGACUGCCAGGGCGCCUUCCUUGCCGCCACCCCCAGUUGUUUCACCCGAGCACGUGACUGCUAGGGUGGACUCGUCCGAGGAGGAGGCAACACGGACUCCGGUCCACGAGCCUUCGGCCCACGAGCCUCGGGUUGACGGGCCUUCGGGCCACGAGAGUUUGGCCCACGAGACCCCGGAGGAACACACGUCUGGAUGGGGUACCUGGCCGGAUCAUCCUGAGGGGCCGAGUGGCCAUGCUGAUGAUGGCGGGGACAGGACUGAUUUUGAGGAGGAG
Molecule: ribosomal RNA, 297 nt
Filed under: Triticum aestivum (bread wheat)
Lineage: Eukaryota; Viridiplantae; Streptophyta; Magnoliopsida; Poales; Poaceae
Description: partial small subunit ribosomal RNA
Source: RNAcentral